Molecule: ribosomal RNA, 497 nt
Filed under: uncultured bacterium
Lineage: Bacteria
Description: partial 16S ribosomal RNA
Rfam family: Bacterial small subunit ribosomal RNA
Source: RNAcentral
GAUGAACGCUGACGGCGUGCCUAAUACAUGCAAGUCGAGCGAACGGACGAGAAGCUUGCUUCUCUGAUGUUAGCGGCGGACGGGUGAGUAACACGUGGAUAACCUACCUAUAAGACUGGGAUAACUUCGGGAAACCGGAGCUAAUACCGGAUAAUAUUUUGAACCGCAUGGUUCAAAAGUGAAAGACGGUCUUGCUGUCACUUAUAGAUGGAUCCGCGCUGCAUUAGCUAGUUGGUAAGGUAACGGCUUACCAAGGCAACGAUGCAUAGCCGACCUGAGAGGGUGAUCGGCCACACUGGUACUGAGACACGGUCCAGACUCCUACGGGAGGCAGCAGUAGGGAAUCUUCCGCAAUGGGCGAAAGCCUGACGGAGCAACGCCGCGUGAGUGAUGAAGGUCUUCGGAUCGUAAAACUCUGUUAUUAGGGAAGAACAUAUGUGUAAGUAACUGUGCACAUCUUGACGGUACCUAAUCAGAAAGCCACGGCUAACUACGUG